UAACCCAACAGAAAUUUAUAACCGAUUGGAUAAUAAUCCACAAGAGAUGCGAAACGAGAUUUGGGUGGAGCGCAUACGCCUUGAGUCACGUGUGAUUAAACGAUGUUAUCCGCGAUUCUCGGUGCCGUCGCACCUGUAUGCCUAUGGAAUGCCUACGUCGUGCCUUGUUUGACUUUUUUACGCCUCCCCUUGCUUCUCCCGUCAUUUCUUCAACCCUGGAGCUGCAUCGGAGGAUUGACGGUCGGCGGAGAUUGUUUUUGGCCGCGAGAAAAGGACACGGAAUUUUCCUUUACAUUCAAAGGAUUUGCGAUAGCGACAAGCAGCGGUUGAUAGCGGUUCCAUACAGAGAAAACAAGUGCAACGAGAACGGGAAGCCGCCGUGACUCCAUAGGUGCUCGCCAUUUCAUUGGACCAUUAUCCUGUUUGCGCGUACAGACGGCGCAAACGGAGUAAAAGAACUUGUGGAAAGAUAGAGAGAAACUCGGACGGGAAGUACAACACGGUUGAGAAAGACAAUGCGGUGAAACAAGUCUGAAUUCUAAAUAAAUAUGCGCUACAUAACGUCUGCCUAGCUAGCCCCCCCAACUUACAUAAAAUUUAAGGAAAAAAUUACAUAAUAAUGUGCUAUUUAUGCGCUCUUCAAAUCCGUAAGAAAAAAAUUUUGCGCUCGCUCC
Hylaeus anthracinus is the source of this 674-nucleotide long non-coding RNA. RefSeq lists it as uncharacterized. The record is from RefSeq and is a predicted model, not a curated record. The transcript is spliced from 3 exons. NCBI's taxonomy places the organism in Eukaryota, Metazoa, Arthropoda, Insecta, Hymenoptera, Colletidae.